AACGAACGCUGGCGGCAGGCCUAACACAUGCAAGUCGAGCGAGGACUUCGGUCCUAGCGGCGGACGGGUGAGUAACGCGUGGGAACGUGCCCUUUGCUUCGGAAUAGCCCUGGGAAACUGGGAGUAAUACCGGAUGAGCCCUUUGGGGGAAAGAGUUAUCGGCGAAGGAUCGGCCCGCGUUGGAUUAGGUAGUUGGUGGGGUAAUGGCCUACCAAGCCGACGAUCCAUAGCUGGUUUGAGAGGAUGAUCAGCCACACUGGGACUGAGACACGGCCCAGACUCCUACGGGAGGCAGCAGUGGGGAAUCUUAGACAAUGGGGGAAACCCUGAUCUAGCCAUGCCGCGUGAGCGAUGAAGGCCUUAGGGUUGUAAAGCUCUUUCAGCGGGGAAGAUAAUGACGGUACCAGCAGAAGAAGCCCCGGCGAACUCCGU
RNAcentral lists this ribosomal RNA (432 nucleotides) under uncultured bacterium. RNAcentral's name for it is "partial 16S ribosomal RNA". It matches the Rfam family "Bacterial small subunit ribosomal RNA", at positions 29 to 506 of the family's 1533-position model. The record is from RNAcentral.